Molecule: ribosomal RNA, 236 nt
Filed under: uncultured bacterium
Lineage: Bacteria
Description: partial 16S ribosomal RNA
Rfam family: Bacterial small subunit ribosomal RNA
Source: RNAcentral
CCUAGCCGCAUGCAGGGGGAUACCGGCUGGAAACAGCCGCUAAUACCGCAUAUGCGCACAGCGCCGCAUGGCGCAGUGCGGAAAAGGGAGCAAUCCCGGCAUGCGAUGGGUCCGCGUCCGAUUAGCUUGUUGGCGGGGCAGCGGCCCACCAAGGCGACGAUCGGUAGCCGGCCUGAGAGGGCGGACGGCCACAUUGAGACGUGAGACACGGCCCAGACUCCUACGGAAGGCAGCAG